Molecule: long non-coding RNA, 396 nt
Filed under: Equus asinus (donkey)
Lineage: Eukaryota; Metazoa; Chordata; Mammalia; Perissodactyla; Equidae
Description: lncRNA (ENSEASG00005025174.1)
Source: RNAcentral
UAGGACUUGCUUGUCCUUCACCAUAAACCACCUGUCCCAAAUAGGAAUUCUUUGCUGCUCUCCAAGAAGCCCAUUCUGCUGUUUACAGGAAAUGCUGGGGCUACAAGAACAAUUAAACACCACCACAAGAAAGCAAUCAGACAAAUCUAGAAUUGGGGACAUUCUGCAAGACAACUGAUGUGGUUUCUUGAAAUAGACAAUGCCAUAACAAGAAAAGCUCCAAUCUUCAACCUUUCCCUGCCACUCUUCCCCAGCAGGCUGAAUGUUCUGCUUUAUGGAUGCCCUCUCUCUUUGAGCUGGAUUUGGCACAUGCGAGAUUCACAGGAAGUAGCAAAAAUAAUACAGACAAGUCUCCUGUAGCCUUCAUCCAGUCUUCCCCCAUGGUUUCAUCUUAUG